GGGCAGAUACCCAAGUGGUCAACGGGAACAGACUGUAAAUCUGUUGCGCUCGCGCUUCGUAGGUUCGAAUCCUGCUCUGCCCA
This 83-nucleotide transfer RNA is filed under the name Candidatus Omnitrophota bacterium. RNAcentral describes it as "Candidatus Omnitrophica bacterium (sediment metagenome) tRNA-Tyr". It matches the Rfam family "tRNA". Rfam says of the family: Transfer RNA (tRNA) molecules are approximately 80 nucleotides in length. Their secondary structure includes four short double-helical elements and three loops (D, anti-codon, and T loops). The record is from RNAcentral. Lineage: Bacteria; Pseudomonadati; Candidatus Omnitrophota.